AUGAGUUUUAAACCUCACGAGUGCUGGGCUCUGCCUUGGGAGCCCUGGUGGGGCCGGGAGCAAGGCAACCCCAGGGACCCUUGCCUCUGGUGUCAGCAGAGCGGUGCUGGCGUCUCGGUGCCGUCUAUAUGGGAAAUGUUGGUUUCCAUAGGAACGGCCUGUGGCAGCGCUGGCUUUUGGGGGAGGUGGCAUCUGGAUGGUGGCAGGAGCCUGGCGUGGCUGCGCCUCGCUAACUCAGUCUCCCUCCCUCUGCAAACAUUGGAUUUAAACCUGCUCAGAAUUCAGCACAGACGAAAGCGGCAGCAGCGGCGGCGGCGGCAGCAGCAGCAAGCAGCAAGCAAAUCAGCCGCUAGCCUAGUGCAGCUCCAAGAUGUACCAUCCUGCCUGCUGGAUCGUCUUCACCGCCACAACUGCCCUGCUCUUCAUCCCAGCGGGCUGAUGCUGCAGGGGAAGGGCGUGAAGGUGUGCGAGCUUCAUUCACAGUUCACCGCUUUGAGGAGUUGA
Molecule: long non-coding RNA, 504 nt
Filed under: Anser cygnoides (Swan goose)
Lineage: Eukaryota; Metazoa; Chordata; Aves; Anseriformes; Anatidae
Description: lncRNA (ENSACDG00005011423.1)
Source: RNAcentral